This 425-nucleotide ribosomal RNA is filed under the name uncultured rumen bacterium. RNAcentral's name for it is "bacterial SSU rRNA". It matches the Rfam family "Bacterial small subunit ribosomal RNA", at positions 354 to 776 of the family's 1533-position model. The record is from RNAcentral.
GUGGGGAAUAUUGGUCAAUGGGCGAAAGCCUGAACCAGCCAAGUAGCGUGCAGGAUGACGGCCCUAUGGGUUGUAAACUGCUUUUAUAGGGGAAUAAAGUUAUCCACGUGUGGAUAUUUGCAUGUACCCUAUGAAUAAGGACCGGCUAAUUCCGUGCCAGCAGCCGCGGUAAUACGGAAGGUCCGGGCGUUAUCCGGAUUUAUUGGGUUUAAAGGGAGCGUAGGCGGUAUAUUAAGCGUGUUGUGAAAUGUAGGUGCUCAACAUCUGACUUGCAGCGCGAACUGGUUUACUUGAGUACGCACAACGUAGGCGGAAUUCGUCGUGUAGCGGUGAAAUGCAUAGAUAUGACGAAGAACUCCGAUUGCGAAGGCAGCUUACGGGAGCGCAACUGACGCUGAAGCUCGAAAGUGCGGGUAUCGAACAGG